CCCUUAGAUGUUCUGGGCCGCACGCGUGCUACACUGAGUGGAUCAGCGGGUCAGGUUGCGCGAAAGUGUUUCCUAAUCUUGAAAUCCGCUCGUGAUGGGGAUUGACGGUUGCAAUUUUCCGUCAUGAACGAGGAAUACCUUGUAAGCGCGGGUCAUCAUCCCGCGCUGAAUACGUCCCUGCCCUUUGUACACACCGCCCGUCGCUCCUACCGAUUGAGUGGUCCGGUGAGGCUUUGGGAUCUGAGCGGAAAGAGCGUUUCGCUGUUUCUGCUCGUAAAACUCAGUCGAACCUUAUCAUUUAGAGGAAGGAGAAGUCGUAACA
RNAcentral lists this ribosomal RNA (322 nucleotides) under uncultured eukaryote. RNAcentral's name for it is "partial 18S ribosomal RNA". It matches the Rfam family "Eukaryotic small subunit ribosomal RNA", at positions 1470 to 1796 of the family's 1831-position model. The record is from RNAcentral.